This 182-nucleotide non-coding RNA is filed under the name Acidocella sp. The record is from RNAcentral. Lineage: Bacteria; Pseudomonadati; Pseudomonadota; Alphaproteobacteria; Acetobacterales; Acidocellaceae. RNAcentral also lists the same sequence under 1 other name.
CGUUACCCUGGCGCCGAUGGUUCCUCCCCGGAGGAUGAAAAGGGAACGCGGGUGCAAAUCCCCGGCUGUCCCCGCAACUGUAAGCGCAGAGCCGCGCGCCACAUGCCACUGGGAAACCGGGAAGGCGGCGCAUCCGGCAGAGACGCGUGAGCCAGGAGACCUGCCAUCGAGAGCGUCAGCGU